UCAGUUUUUGUCUAAGUCUUUCAUCAUAUCUGUCAUCAUGUUUUCAAUCGUUGCUUUGUUAUUGUCUUUGAUUAUGUCUGAGUAGUGAACUGUAUUUCUGAGGAUGGGAUAGAUUAGUUGUGGUUUACUUGGUCGUUUUAGGUGGUUGAGUUUAGAAUACUAGAAUCCCUUCUGGAUUAGUUGCGCUUAUUGCGUG
RNAcentral lists this small RNA (196 nucleotides) under Arabidopsis thaliana (thale cress). Its description in RNAcentral is "ATSL091070". Lineage: Eukaryota; Viridiplantae; Streptophyta; Magnoliopsida; Brassicales; Brassicaceae. The record is from RNAcentral.